UUUCCCUCAGGAUAGCUGGUGCUCUUGCACGGUAAAACCCAUGCAGUUUUAUCUGAUAAAGCAAAUGAUAUAGAGGGCUUGGGGCCGAAACAAUCACAGCCUGUUCUCAAACUUUAAAAGGGUAAGAAGCCCAGCUGGCUGGCGUAGUAUGUGAGGGUCUA
This 161-nucleotide non-coding RNA is filed under the name Loxodonta africana (African savanna elephant). RNAcentral's name for it is "Eukaryotic large subunit ribosomal RNA". It matches the Rfam family "Eukaryotic large subunit ribosomal RNA", at positions 967 to 1111 of the family's 3401-position model. The record is from Rfam by way of RNAcentral. Lineage: Eukaryota; Metazoa; Chordata; Mammalia; Proboscidea; Elephantidae.